This 242-nucleotide ribosomal RNA is filed under the name uncultured bacterium. Its description in RNAcentral is "partial 16S ribosomal RNA". It matches the Rfam family "Bacterial small subunit ribosomal RNA", at positions 92 to 334 of the family's 1533-position model. The record is from RNAcentral.
UUAGUGGCGGACGGGUGAGUAACGCGUGGGUAACCUGCCUUGUACUGGGGGACAACAGUUGGAAACGACUGCUAAUACCGCAUAAGCGCACAGCUUCGCAUGAAGCAGUGUGAAAAACUCCGGUGGUACAAGAUGGACCCGCGUCUGAUUAGGUAGUUGGUGGGGUAACGGCCUACCAAGCCGACGAUCAGUAGCCGACCUGAGAGGGUGACCGGCCACAUUGGGACUGAGACACGGCCCAA